This 253-nucleotide ribosomal RNA is filed under the name uncultured bacterium. RNAcentral describes it as "partial 16S ribosomal RNA". It matches the Rfam family "Bacterial small subunit ribosomal RNA", at positions 524 to 776 of the family's 1533-position model. The record is from RNAcentral.
UACAGAGGUCUCAAGCGUUGUUCGGAUUCAUUGGGCGUAAAGGGUGCGUAGGCGGCGCGGUAAGUCGGAUGUGAAAUCUCGGAGCUUAACUUCGAAACUGCAUUCGAUACUGCCGUGCUUGAGGACUGGAGAGGAGACUGGAAUUUACGGUGUGGCGGUGAAAUGCGUAGAUAUCAUAAGGAAGACCAGUGGCGAAGGCGGGUCUCUGGACAGUUCCUGACGCUGAGGCACGAAGGCCAGGGGAGCAAACGGG